AGGGUUUGAUCAUGGCUCAGAACGUACGCUGGCGGCACGCCUAACACAUGCAAGUCGAACGAAGUAGCAAUACUUAGUGGCAGACGGGUGAGUAACAUGUAGGUAUCUACCCUUUGGCCUGGAAUAACACGAGGAAACUUGUGCUAAUACUGGAUAAGUCUUUACGGAGAAAGCUUUAUGCACCAUUGGAUGAGCCUGCACUUGAUUAGUUUGUUGGUGGGGUAAUGGCCUACCAAGACUGUGAUCAAUAGCUGAUUUGAGAGGAUGAUCAGCCACAUUGGGACUGAGACACGGCCCAAACUCCUACGGGAGGCAGCAGUGGGGAAUCUUGCACAAUGGAGGAAACUCUGAUGCAGCGAUGCCGCGUGAGUGAAGAAGGCCCUUGGGUUGUAAAGCUCUUUCGUCGGGGAAGAAAAUGACUGUACCCGAAUAAGAAGGUCCGGCUAACUUCGUGCCAGCAGCCGCGGUAAUACGAAGGGACCUAGCGUAGUUCGGAAUUACUGGGCUUAAAGAGUUCGUAGGUGGUUGAAAAAGUUAGUGGUGAAAUCCCAGAGCUUAACUCUGGAACUGCCAUUAAAACUUUUCAGCUAGAGUAUGAUAGAGGAAAGCAGAAUUUCUAGUGUAGAGGUGAAAUUCGUAGAUAUUAGAAAGAAUACCAAUUGCGAAGGCAGCUUUCUGGAUCAUUACUGACACUGAGGAACGAAAGCAUGGGUAGCGAAGAGGAUUAGAUACCCUCGUAGUCCAUGCCGUAAACGAUGUGUGUUAGACGUUGGAAAUUUAUUUUCAGUGUCGCAGCGAAAGCGAUAAACACACCGCCUGGGGAGUACGACCGCAAGGUUAAAACUCAAAUGAAUUGACGGGGACCCGCACAAGUAGUGGAGCAUGUGGUUUAAUUCGAAGAUACGCGCAGAACCUUACCAACACUUGACAUGUUCGUCGCGACUCUAAGAGAUUAGAGUUUUCGGUUCGGCCGGACGAAACACAGGUGCUGCAUGGCUGUCGUCAGCUCGUGUCGUGAGAUGUUGGGUUAAGUCCCGCAACGAGCGCAACCCUCACUUUUAGUUGCCAUCAUUAAGUUGGGCACUCUGAAAGAACUGCCAGUGAUAAGCUGGAGGAAGGUGGGGAUGACGUCAAGUCCUCAUGGCCCUUACGUGUUGGGCUACACACGUGCUACAAUGGUAUCUACAACAGGAAGCAAGACUGCGAGGUCAAGCAAAUCCUUAAAAGAUACCUCAGUUCGGAUUGCACUCUGCAACUCGAGUGCAUGAAGCUGGAAUUACUAGUAAUCGUGGAUCAGCGUGCCACGGUGAAUGCGUUCCCGGGUCUUGUACACACCGCCCGUCACACCAUGGGAGUUGGUUCUACCUUAAG
This 1371-nucleotide ribosomal RNA is filed under the name uncultured bacterium. RNAcentral's name for it is "16S ribosomal RNA". It matches the Rfam family "Bacterial small subunit ribosomal RNA". The record is from RNAcentral.